This 314-nucleotide ribosomal RNA is filed under the name Paecilomyces variotii. Its description in RNAcentral is "Byssochlamys spectabilis partial 18S ribosomal RNA". The stretch from base 1 to 270 matches the Rfam family "Eukaryotic large subunit ribosomal RNA", at positions 376 to 664 of the family's 3401-position model. The record is from RNAcentral. Lineage: Eukaryota; Fungi; Ascomycota; Eurotiomycetes; Eurotiales; Thermoascaceae.
UUGAAAAGAGAGUUAAACAGCACGUGAAAUUGUUGAAAGGGAAGCGUUUGCGACCAGACUCGCCCGCGGGGUUCAGCCGGCAUUCGUGCCGGUGUACUUCCCCGUGGGCGGGCCAGCGUCGGUUUGGGCGGCCGGUCAAAGGCCCUCGGAAUGUAUCACCUCUCGGGGUGUCUUAUAGCCGAGGGUGCAAUGCGGCCUGCCUGGACCGAGGAACGCGCUUCGGCUCGGACGCUGGCGUAAUGGUCGUAAAUGACCCGUCUUGAAACACGGACCAAGACGCGGGGUCUUUUACGACUAUUCCCCCGCGCCGGACC